Molecule: unclassified non-coding RNA, 110 nt
Organism: Gorilla gorilla gorilla (western lowland gorilla)
Lineage: Eukaryota; Metazoa; Chordata; Mammalia; Primates; Hominidae
Rfam family: Y RNA
About the family: Y RNAs are components of the Ro ribonucleoprotein particle (Ro RNP), in association with Ro60 and La proteins. The Y RNAs and Ro60 and La proteins are well conserved, but the function of the Ro RNP is not known.
Source: Ensembl
GGCUGGUCUCAAUGUAGUGAGUUAUUUCAGUUGAUCACAGUCAGUUACAGAUAGAAUUCCUUGUUUUACUUCCCCCCUACGACCUCACUACUGCAGUUGACUAGUCUUUU